This 446-nucleotide ribosomal RNA is filed under the name uncultured bacterium. RNAcentral describes it as "bacterial SSU rRNA". It matches the Rfam family "Bacterial small subunit ribosomal RNA", at positions 331 to 793 of the family's 1533-position model. The record is from RNAcentral.
CCAGACUCCUACGGGAGGCAGCAGUGGGGGGUAUUGCACAAUGGGGGAAACCCUGAUGCAGCGACGCCGCGUGAGUGAAGAAGUAUUUCGGUAUGUAAAGCUCUAUCAGCAGGGAAGAAAAAAGACGGUACCUGACUAAGAAGCCCCGGCUAACUACGUGCCAGCAGCCGCGGUAAUACGUAGGGGGCAAGCGUUAUCCGGAUUUACUGGGUGUAAAGGGAGCGUAGACGGCAAUACAAGUCGGAAGUGAAAUACCCGGGCUCAACCUGGGAAUUGCUUUGGAAACUGUAUGGCUGGAGUGCUGGAGGGGCAAGCGGAAUUCCUAGUGUAGCGGUGAAAUGCGUAGAUAUUAGGAGGAACACCGGUGGCGAAGGCGGCUUGCUGGACGGUAACUGACGUUGAGGCUCGAAAGCGCGGGGAGCAAACAGGAUUAGAUACCCUUGUAA